UCCUUGGUGGUCUAGUGGUUAGGACUUUGCACUUUCAUUACUGCGGCCCAGGUUUGAUCCCUGGUCCAGGAA
RNAcentral lists this transfer RNA (72 nucleotides) under Sus scrofa (pig). It matches the Rfam family "tRNA". From Rfam's summary of the family: Transfer RNA (tRNA) molecules are approximately 80 nucleotides in length. Their secondary structure includes four short double-helical elements and three loops (D, anti-codon, and T loops). Further hydrogen bonds mediate the characteristic L-shaped molecular structure. tRNAs have two regions of fundamental functional importance: the anti-codon, which is responsible for specific mRNA codon recognition, and the 3' end, to which the tRNAs corresponding amino acid is attached (by aminoacyl-tRNA synthetases). tRNAs cope with the degeneracy of the genetic code in two manners: having more than one tRNA (with a specific anti-codon) for a particular amino acid; and 'wobble' base-pairing, i.e. permitting non-standard base-pairing at the 3rd anti-codon position. Lineage: Eukaryota; Metazoa; Chordata; Mammalia; Artiodactyla; Suidae. The record is from Rfam by way of RNAcentral.